Triticum urartu is the source of this 840-nucleotide non-coding RNA. The record is from RefSeq and is a predicted model, not a curated record. Lineage: Eukaryota; Viridiplantae; Streptophyta; Magnoliopsida; Poales; Poaceae.
ACACGCCUCCUCUCUUGUCUCUCUCUCUCUUUCGUUUUUCCUCCUAUCAACUAGGGUUGUGGCAACCGCCGCCGCCCCAUCGCCCCUCUGGCGCUGCCCAUCGGAGAAAGGCCUGCCUCGAGCCCCCCACCCCUUCCUCAUUUCCUCUCCCAUGACACGCAACCUCUCAUUCCUCUUCUUCCCCUGAUCUGGUCGUUCCAAUUCUUGGCAAUCGGGAGGAGGCAGCCAGUGGAUGGGAAGGCCGGGCGGAAGAGAAGGAUGAGGGGACGCGGCUGCGAGUACGCCACCAGCCGUGCGGAUUGGAUGGGAAGAGAAGUCGGCGGCGGUGGCGGUUUCGAUCUCUGAUCUGCCACCAGCGCCGCCGCAGGGACGGGUGAAAGCAUCUGAGAUGGCUGCAGGGGCGGCGCGGGCCCGGGCUCGGGCAGCCACCAUGGCGUCGAAUGCACCGGCGGGGGCCUCUUCCUCGUAGCAAGGCGUGGCCCUGCUCUUCCUCAUAGCGCUGAUGACAAGGCGGGCGGCGCCGCGAGCUCUCGUCCCGAGGAAGCCGCGGGAGGACGAGGUCAAGACGGACCAGGUCGACGUGCCCCCCUGCCACACCCCUUCUUCUCCUACGGGUUGGUUGCUGCUGUUGCUGGUGUCGUUCGUGUCCGAUUCGAUCGGCCUGUGGUUUCCUGUUGUUGCGGCAGGUUGCAAGAUUUGUUGGAACCAAUUUUGAGAAGACUGAAUCUACCACGUAUCCAAAUGGAGCGGUUGCAAUCGUUAUAUACCUGGAAUGAUGCUUUUAUAUGUCUGAAUUUUCACAAGUAUUUCUAAACUUGGCCCUAGCGAAGUGGCAAGUGU